RNAcentral lists this ribosomal RNA (499 nucleotides) under uncultured bacterium. Its description in RNAcentral is "partial 16S ribosomal RNA". It matches the Rfam family "Bacterial small subunit ribosomal RNA", at positions 28 to 507 of the family's 1533-position model. The record is from RNAcentral.
GACGAACGCGGGCGGCGUGCCUAAUACAUGCAAGUCGAGCGAAGUUUUUCUGGUGCUUGCACUAGAAAAACUUCGCGGCGAGCGGGUGAGUAACACGUAAAGAACCUGCCUCAUAGACUGGGAGAACUAUUGGAAACGAUAGCUAAUACCGGAUAACAGUAUUUCUCGCAUGAGAGAUAUUUAAAAGUUGGUUAUGCUAACACUAUGAGAUGGCUUUGCGGUGCAUUAGCUAGUUGGUGGGGUAAAGGCCCACCCAGGCGACGAUGCAUAGCCGACCUGAGAGGGUGAUCGGCCACACUGGAACUGAGACACGGCCCAGACUCCUACGGGAGGCGGCAGUAGGGAAUCUUCCGCAAUGGGCGAAAGCCUGACGGAGCAACGCCGCGUGAGUGAAGAAGGAUUUCGGUUAGUAGAGCUCUGAUGUUAGGGAAGAAAGGAUAUGUUGUAACGAUACACGUAAGGGACGGUACCUAAACAGAAAGGUACGGCUAACUACGUG